UAGUAACGGCGAGUGAAGCGGCAAAAGCCCAAACUGGAAAUCUUGUACCUUCGGUACACGAAUUGUAAUCUAUAGGAUGUAUGCUCACCGGACGGUCGCGCAGAAGUGUCCUCGAAUGGACCGCCAGAGAGGGUGAUAGCCCCGUAUGUGGUGCGACUGUCUAACGAGUGUGCGUUCCAAGAGUCGGGUUGUUUUGUAUUGCAGCCCUAAGUGGGAGAUAAACUUCUUCUAAGGCUAAAUAUAUAUGGGAAACCGAUAGCGAACAAGUACUGUGAAGGAAAGAUGAAAAGAACUUUGAAAAGAGAGUCAAAAGACUUGAAAUCGUUGAGAAGGAAGCGGUAGAAAUUUAUUCUUCGGCAGAGGCCGGUGGUAGUCGCCAAACCAUUGCUGGGAACUAGUACCGCAAGGGCUAGUCUUAGCACCUGGGGAAGUGGCUGCUUUGACCUUUGUCGUGAGGCAAAAUGGGGUCGAACUUGAGCAAAGGCUUCCUACGCCUGGCCUGAUUCGUCAGGCAGCGUAGGUGUGCCGGCUCGGGGACGGCCUGAGGAUGCUUUGUGCGAUUUUGCCAAAAUGGUUUUUACCGACCCGUCUUGAAACACGGACCAAGGAGUCUAACAUAUACGCGAGUGUGCUGGUGGAAAAACCAACACGCGAAAUGAAGGUGAUUGAUGCCAAGCCGCAAGGCAGCAGCAUCGACCGACCAUGAUCCUCUGGUGAAAGGUUUGAGUAUGAGCGUAUCUGUUAGGACCCGAAAGAUGGUGAACUAUGCCUGAGUAGGCUGAAGCCAGGGGAAACUCUGGUGGAGGGCCGUAGCGGUUCUAACGUGCAAAUUGAUCGUCAAACUUGGGUAUAGGGGCGAAAGACUAAUCGAACCAUCUAGUAGCUGGUUCCCUCCGAAGUUUCCCUCAGGAUAGCUGGGACAAAUACGCAGUUUUAUUAGGUAAAGCGAAUGAUUAGAGGAAUCUGGAGUAUAAUACUCUAGACCUAUUCUCAAACUUUAAAUUGGUAAGAACCUCGGCCUUUCUUAAUUGAGGCACGGGGGCUCAAUGCGUGUCCUUAGUGGGCCAUUUUUGGUAAGCAGAACUGGCGAUGAGGGUUACUCCUAACGUUGAGUUAAGGUGCCAAACUACACGCUCAUCAGACACUACAAAGGGUGUUGGUUCAUAUAGACAGCAGGACGGUGGCCAUGGAAGUCGGAACCCGCUAAGGAGUGUGUAACAACUCACCUGCCGAAUGAACUAGCCCCGAAAAUGGAUGGCGCUUAAGCGUGUGACCGAUACUCAACCAUUGCAUCGAGAGUGAGGUUGCAAUGAGUAGGGGGGCGUGAGCGUUGUGGCGAAGCCUCUGGCGUGAGCCUGGGUUGAACAGCGCUUAGUGCAGAUCUUGGUGGUAGUAGCAAUUAUUCAAAUGAGAACUUUGAAGGCCGAAGUGGAGAAGGUUUCCGUGAGAACAGCAAUUGGUCACGGGUGACUCGAUCCUAAGACAUGGGGGAAAUCCUUGUUAAGUGAGCCGUAUGGCUCGUGGUCGAAAGGGAAUGAGGUUAAUAUUCCUCAAGCUGGAUGUGGGUGUUGUAUGGCAACAUAAGUGAGCUCAGAGACGCCAGCGUGAGCCUCUGGAAGAGUUAUCUUUUCUUUUUAACAGAUUAGCGACCUUGAAAUUGGAUUACCCAGAGCUAAGGUUGUAUAUCUGGAAGAGCACCCUGCUUUUCGGGGUGUCAGGUGCGCUCAUGAUGGCCCAUGAAAAUCUGAGGA
This 1751-nucleotide ribosomal RNA is filed under the name Deviata abbrevescens. Its description in RNAcentral is "partial large subunit ribosomal RNA". It matches the Rfam family "Eukaryotic large subunit ribosomal RNA", at positions 81 to 1819 of the family's 3401-position model. The record is from RNAcentral. Lineage: Eukaryota; Ciliophora; Spirotrichea; Deviatidae.